Molecule: unclassified non-coding RNA, 499 nt
Filed under: bacterium endosymbiont of Phalconomus sp.
Lineage: Bacteria
Description: partial 16S-23S ribosomal RNA intergenic spacer
Rfam family: tRNA (bases 51-123)
Source: RNAcentral
CUGAUGAAAUAACGCGUAAAGCCAAUCUAAGAUUGACUAAAGAGCUUAGAGUCCCCUUCGUCUAGAGGCCUAGGACAUCGCCCUUUCACGGCGGUAACAGGGGUUCGAAUCCCCUAGGGGACGCCACUUUAGUGAUUUAGAAAGGCAGUGCAUCACGCUUUUAGUGUUGCGCACUGUUUGUGCUUUACACAAUAAUGAUUAAGCCAAUUCAGUGAGUUGGUUUACCAAUUAUGCUCUUUAACAAUCUGGAACAAGCUGAAAAUUGAAACACACAUUAUUGAAAAAAUAGUGUGGAGAACUCUCAAAACUCCAAUCAGUUGGGUUUUUGUUGUCAUGAUGAAGCGUUAUGAGCGAGCAGUCAGCAAUUCGAGGCGGCCAGCGCACAGCAAGCGCAGCGUACUAAAGUACGUGAGCAUUGCGCGCACACUGCCCAACAAAGAAUUGGUGAACGCGCAGCCAUAACCCAAGCAAGACAGUAGAAGACUCCUUCGGGUUGUGA